GACGAACGCUGGCGGCGUGCCUAAUACAUGCAAGUCGAACGAGCGCGCCCGUGGCUUGCUGUGGUGAUUUUAGUGGCAAACGGGUGAGUAACCCGUGGUUAACCUGCCUAUCAUACUGGGAUACCAUCUGAAAACGGGUGCUAAAACCGGAUUGCCUUUUGAACCGCAUGGUUCGAAGCGGAAAAGUGUCAUCUUCGUCUGUUUAUGUUGGGUACGGCGUUGCAUUAGCUAGUUGGUGAGGUAACGGCUUACCAAGGCAGGGCUGGAAAGCCGACCUGAGAGGGUGAUUGGCCACACUGGGACUGAGACACGGCCCACACUCCUACGGGAGGCAGCAGGAGGGAAUCUGCCGCAAUGGACGGAAGCCUGACGGAGCAACGCCGCGUGAGUGAGGAAGGUAUUCGGAUCGUAAGACUCUGUUUUUAGGGAAGAACAAAUGCUAUAGUAACUGUGCAGGGCUUGACGGUAGCUAAGCAGAAAGCCACGGCUAACUACGUG
Molecule: ribosomal RNA, 498 nt
Filed under: uncultured bacterium
Lineage: Bacteria
Description: partial 16S ribosomal RNA
Rfam family: Bacterial small subunit ribosomal RNA
Source: RNAcentral